CAGCAGCCGCGGGAAUACGUAGGUCCCGAGCGUUGUCCGGAUUUAUUGGGCGUAAAGCGCGCGCAGGUGGUUUAAUAAGUCUGAUGUGAAAGCCCACGGCUCAACCGUGGAGGGUCAUUGGAAACUGUUAAACUUGAGUGCAGGAGAGAAAAGUGGAAUUCCUAGUGUAGCGGUGAAAUGCGUAGAUAUUAGGAGGAACACCGGCGGCGAAGGCGGCUUUCUGGAUUGUAACUGACACUGAGGCACGAAAGCGUGGGUAGCAAACAGGAUUAGAUACCCCUGUAGUCCCUGUCUCUUAUAC
This 301-nucleotide ribosomal RNA is filed under the name uncultured bacterium. Its description in RNAcentral is "partial 16S ribosomal RNA". It matches the Rfam family "Bacterial small subunit ribosomal RNA", at positions 509 to 807 of the family's 1533-position model. The record is from RNAcentral.